GUUGAACGCUAGCGGCAGGCCUAAUACAUGCAAGUCGAACGGGAUCCAGAUCAAUGCUCGUGGUGGCUUGGUGAGAGUGGUGCAUGGGUCCGUAACGUCUGAGCAAUCUACCCUUGUCAGGGGCAUAGCCCGGCGAAAGUCCGACUUAUAUCGUAUGACAUCAUUUAGAGGCAUCUCUCGAUGCACACAGACUUAUCGGACAAGGUUGGGCUCGCGUGACAUUAGCUAGUUGGUAAGGUAACGGCUUACCAAGGCUACGAUAUCUAGGGGAUCUGAGAGGAGGAUACACCACACUGGUACUGAGGCACGGACCAGACUGCGACGGAGGGGAGCAGUAAGGAAUAUUGGUGAAUGGACGGAAGUCUAAACCAGCCAUGCCUGGUACAAGAGGACGGGCAUAUGGGUUGUAAACUGCUUUUGUGCGAGGGCAAUCAUCGAUACGUGUACCGGUCUGAGUUUACCGUAAGAAUAAGGACCGGCUAACUCCGUG
RNAcentral lists this ribosomal RNA (490 nucleotides) under uncultured bacterium. RNAcentral's name for it is "partial 16S ribosomal RNA". It matches the Rfam family "Bacterial small subunit ribosomal RNA", at positions 28 to 507 of the family's 1533-position model. The record is from RNAcentral.